RNAcentral lists this long non-coding RNA (1445 nucleotides) under Canis lupus familiaris (dog). RNAcentral describes it as "lncRNA (ENSCAFG00000053096.1)". The record is from RNAcentral. Lineage: Eukaryota; Metazoa; Chordata; Mammalia; Carnivora; Canidae.
CAUGGAGCUGGCCUCCCAAGUGGCCCCAGAGAGCAGCAGGGGACACACACGGGGUGGGCUUCUGAGGCCCAAGGGAAGGGGAGACAGGAGGGACCAGGCACAGAAACCCACCUCUCCCCAUGGCCAGCUCUGAGGUGCAGCCUCUCUCGAAAACUUGAUGGGAGUGGGCGGGGGGGGGGGUUGUCUCGUCCUCUGGGCGUCCGGCUGGAUGGACUCCCUGCAGAAAGUCCUCAGGGUGGCCCGUGGUCACACGCUGCCCCCCCACCUUGUCCCCCAGAGUUCCUUGGCUGAGUUUCUGGUCCCUGCCCAUGAGGUUUGUAACCCUUGCCUCAGGCUCUGCCUUCUGGGGACCCGGGCUAAGACAGGGACUGAGGCCCCAGGAAGUGGCUGGACUGGCAUGGGAGACACUGGCUGAGUCUGUGGUCACUGCUCCGUCACCGCCCCUGUUGGGGAGCGAGGAGCGAGGGAGGGAGUGGACGUGACCUUCAGGAAUCCCACCGCGAUGUUCUUGGGUCCUGGGCAGGAAUUUACACCCCGCUGCGGCCCCAGGGCCUGACUGCAGGGUGGCCGGGACGCCAGAGCUGGGACUGGCAAGACCCAAGCAGUCUGUGUAGACCACUCCCGGGGCCAGGAGGGAAGUCAGGGGAGCCCCCCCUGUGGCCGCCCAGCGGUUAGAAGAGAAAACGGAUCCAGGACUAUUGGAGCCACCAAGUGGUUAAUUGGCUUUGCCUCCAUCAGUGCCAUGAAUAUUCAUGAGGCGCGCUGUCCUCAUCAGGCCGGGUCUGCAUCCAGCGCCCCCCGCGCCGAGCCUGCUAUACCCCGUCUAUACCCGGUCGGCGCUGACAGCCGCCAGCCCGCACGCAGCCCUGAUUGGCCCGGCUGCUCUCCCAGAUGCCAUAGCAACCCUGGCUGGUUGCCUAGCGAUUCAUCCCUCUCUUCCUUUUUCCCUAAAGCCCGAGCCAGUAAUCCAUAGGCUGCGGUGGAAACGUCUUUGUGCCGUGGUGUGUGCACGUGUGUACCUGCGUUUGCACACAGAGUUGUGCAGCCAUCAUGUGCCCGUCAGUCUGAAACCUGGUGCCGUACCCACUGCUCCGCACCCCCUCCUCGGCCGGAGGCAGCCACCGAGCCACUUGUUGUCUUAGGAGUUGCUUACUCUGGACAGCUCGUGGAAGCAAAGCUGCAGCAUGCGACCUCUUACGUCUGCCUUCUUUCCCUCAGCAUGAUUUCCAGAUUCAUCCGUGUCGUAGCUCUGUCAGCGCGUUGUUCCUUUUAAUGGUUGAAUAAUAUUCCUUUGUACAGAUUUUAUUUCUUUACUCAUCGUGUGUUAGACAUUUGUGUUGCUUCUACUUUUUGGCCACUUUGAAUAAAGCUGCUAUGGACAUGUGUGUAUGAAUUUUCCUGUGGUUGCAUGUUUUCAUUUCUCUUGGACAUGCACCCAUGAGUGG